GGGAUAUUAACUCAGUUGGUUCAGAGUGUCACGUCGACAACGUGGAAGUCACUGGUUCGAAUCCAGUAUGUCCCA
RNAcentral lists this transfer RNA (75 nucleotides) under Leeuwenhoekiella marinoflava. RNAcentral describes it as "tRNA-Val". It matches the Rfam family "tRNA". From Rfam's summary of the family: Transfer RNA (tRNA) molecules are approximately 80 nucleotides in length. Their secondary structure includes four short double-helical elements and three loops (D, anti-codon, and T loops). The record is from RNAcentral. Lineage: Bacteria; Pseudomonadati; Bacteroidota; Flavobacteriia; Flavobacteriales; Flavobacteriaceae.